This is a long non-coding RNA of Clupea harengus (Atlantic herring), 1892 nucleotides long. Lineage: Eukaryota; Metazoa; Chordata; Actinopteri; Clupeiformes; Clupeidae. The record is from Ensembl.
ACAGUCUGUUUGGUUGCUCAGCGUGAAUAAAAGAACAGUUUCUACAUUAAUAUAACAGCAGUUUUUUUUAGAUUUGACAUCAGAGAUUUUAAAGUGAAAUGCAGCCUUUUUUUUAUCAAUUUCUUUAUCAAUUAUCAUCAUCAACUAUUUUCAGUAUGGUAAAGGAACUAGGAUUCUAUUUCAAGCUAUCUGGUCAAUACAAAGUCAAAUGUGAAAGAAAGCAAGAGAACUGGAGAACAAACUCAAUUCAGCCACUGGUUCUCAUCAUUCCGGCCUCAUCAAGGCUUCUGUUCCAAAAUGCAUGGGUAAAUAGUUUGCUCUCUAAUUAACAAAUGUCCAUACCAAGGCCUGUGUUGAUCUUCUGUUACUAACAGGCGUGCCGUCUAUAACUUUCUGAUGCAUAGCUUAAGGCACAGAAAAUUAAGAUUUGACCUUUGACACUUCCACCCUCUGCCCACCACACACGCACCCAAGCGCCGCGCGCGCACACACGGGAGUAACGGUACAUGACCGGAGGGUUGAUAGUUGAAAGACGGGUUGUUGGGUUUGUUGGGACGGCAUUUGACGACACUGGCUACACGAUUUUAUUGAAAUGUAAGCAAACAUCCAUGCUAUGCGUCAAUCUGUGAUACCACUGCACUCAUUUGGAAAUCAUCGCAUCUGUAUCGGCUGUUCUAUGCCUACAUACCUUAUAGAAGUUCACAUAAGCGGAGAAAUAGGACUAUACUACAUUACUUUGUAAUUAACAAAUAGCCCUAAUCCUAUAUAUUUCAGCUCUUUGGUUUAUUAUUUACAUUAAAACACCAGAGCCGAUGCAUUCCAGAGGAAGCCUUGGUAGAAAGGCAAACAGAUAUGUAACAGAAUGCAACAACAUAUUGCGUUCAAAGAACGCUACGGUGAGUACCCAAUUAUGUUUUAUAAAGUAAAUUCUGUGCUUUUCUGGCGUAAAAGCGUUUGCUGUCAGCUGUGAGGUCCAGUUAUGGCUUUUCUGACAGCAGAAAAAGACAAGGCUGCAACGCAACAAACCCAUCGACUGAGGGCUGGAUCGGACAUUGCAUCUUUAAAAGCAAGUGUUUCAGAUAUCCAUACUGUUAAGAAACAUACAUUGAAGGGGAGUGGACUACAUUGUCUAUUACGCAUAAAAUGGGACAGCUGUUAGACCAGCCUAUGCUGAGGGAAAUACAUGCAUACCACUGCUCGCAAGCAUAGCCACGUCUUCUACUAACGAUACCACCUCUCAGGAAGACUGAAUACGCGUAUUUGCAUGCAAGCAAAUCGAUUGUAACAACAUUUACACAAAACAAUCAGGCUUUUAUAAAAAUUACGUAAAUCAAGACACCUUUGAGCUAAAUACAAAGGGGGUAUGCCUACCGUUUUUAUUUUUCACUCGGAGACCGAGCGGUGGAUUCCAGCUCUAGCCGUCAAAUUACAGUAAUCCAAUGGUUUAAUCCUUGUUUUGUGAGCACCCACGUCACUUCCGCGUUUUCUCAACCAUACACCUGUAACGCCACUCGUGCCGAAUGGGACCCUAUAAAUAGAUGUGAUCAAGCCUCAGUGUAUCCCAUCACAUACGGUGCACAGUCACAACAAGGUGGUCUCUCAGUUUUCAGUGUGACUUGAAUCACCACGCCUAGGGCCAAUUAGGGUGCUUUAUUUAAAGAAUGUCGCGUAGACAUAAAUGACAAACUAAACGACGUAUGGCUCACGCUUCAAUGAAAACUAUAACGUCAAACCCGUUUAGUAGACAAGUAGACCGAGCUAUUCCAUGCUUGUGUUCUAUGCAGUGGUAGAAAGAGUUCAUUCUUGGCCAACUCUGGGAAUAACAGAGGGGCGGACCGAUACUAAUCAUGCCGUGAGGCCAUAUCUUCUGAACCAAUGAACAUGCGCUUUGG